RNAcentral lists this transfer RNA (66 nucleotides) under bovine gut metagenome. It matches the Rfam family "tRNA". Rfam says of the family: Transfer RNA (tRNA) molecules are approximately 80 nucleotides in length. Their secondary structure includes four short double-helical elements and three loops (D, anti-codon, and T loops). The record is from RNAcentral.
GGGUAUAGCCAAGCGGUAAGGCAACAGACUUUGACUCUGUCAUUCGUAGGUUCGAGUCCUGCUACC